RNAcentral lists this ribosomal RNA (581 nucleotides) under uncultured bacterium. Its description in RNAcentral is "bacterial SSU rRNA". It matches the Rfam family "Bacterial small subunit ribosomal RNA", at positions 102 to 679 of the family's 1533-position model. The record is from RNAcentral.
ACGGGUGAGUAAUGUCUGGGAAACUGCCCGAUGGAGGGGGAUAACUACUGGAAACGGUAGCUAAUACCGCAUAACGUCGCAAGACCAAAGAGGGGGACCUUCGGGCCUCUUGCCAUCGGAUGUGCCCAGAUGGGAUUAGCUUGUUGGUGAGGUAAUGGCUCACCAAGGCGACGAUCCCUAGCUGGUCUGAGAGGAUGACCAGCCACACUGGAACUGAGACACGGUCCAGACUCCUACGGGAGGCAGCAGUGGGGAAUAUUGCACAAUGGGCGCAAGCCUGAUGCAGCCAUGCCGCGUGUGUGAAGAAGGCCUUCGGGUUGUAAAGCACUUUCAGCGGGGAGGAAGGCGAUACGGUUAAUAACCGUGUCGAUUGACGUUACCCGCAGAAGAAGCACCGGCUAACUCCGUGCCAGCAGCCGCGGUAAUACGGAGGGUGCAAGCGUUAAUCGGAAUUACUGGGCGUAAAGCGCACGCAGGCGGUCUGUCAAGUCGGAUGUGAAAUCCCCGGGCUCAACCUGGAAACUGCAUUCGAAACUGGCAGGCUUGAGUCUUGUAGAGGGGGGUAGAAUUCCAGGUGUAGC